RNAcentral lists this long non-coding RNA (903 nucleotides) under Mytilus galloprovincialis (Mediterranean mussel). Lineage: Eukaryota; Metazoa; Mollusca; Bivalvia; Mytilida; Mytilidae. The record is from RNAcentral.
UAUAGAAGUAGACAUCAAUUUGGCCAUAAGUAUAAACACCCUAUUCAAAUUUGAAAUAUGAUUGGUGGAUUAUUUCUAAAAGUUAUUGCCCUUAAUCAAUAAGAACCAUAAGGUCCGAGUACACAGUUAUCGUCCCUUGAUUUUCGUUGUCCACGAAUAUAGUCCCUAGUGUGGACAGUGUGUUACUUGUCAAUUUUUUUUAUACCCCUUCCAAAUUUAUCUAUUUAUGUUUUAUGCCUCAAGUAGCAAGAAGGGGGAUAAAAUUACACUGUAAAAAAAUUUGAUUCAUGAAUUAUAAUGUAAAGUAGUGAUUUGGUCCAGUUGAAAAAGGUCAAAAAUUAGCAUUUCGGAAGCUGUCAAAAGAUUUCAAGACCCCCUUCACAUAAAAUUGUCCAUAUUUUGAGUUAGAGCUGAUGAAGUUUUCUAUAAUUUUGAUAUAAUUUGUCCCAAAAGUAGUACAACACACUGUAAAAAUAUUAUGGAGAAAGCGCAGGUGGGAUUUUUUUUAUUUCCAUUUAUUGUCUAAAGGAAAUGCACUACGAAAUAACUGUGUACUCGGACCAUAACUCCUGAACGACAAAGUGAAAAUUAUCAAUAUCAAAACUGAUCUCAUUUUGUCAUCGGUAACAACAUACUUACAUGUUAAAAAGCAUUUGUUGAACUGUUCAAUUAAGUAAUUACAUGGAACAAUAUAAAGUGCAUUUUUUCCAAUCAAGGACUAUAUAAAUUCCUGAACAGCAAAAGUGAAAAUUGAACUUGACCUCAAUUUUGUCAUUAGUAAUACACUAUAUCAAAAUUUGAAUUGUUCAUAAUUUAUUGCAAUGAAUCAAUUGCAACCUAAAGCCAACUGACCUCCGGCACGCCUGUUGCUGAUGAGUUCUAAAAUUCUAUUAGAAAAACCCA